AACAAAUGGCCGCUGCUGCAAUACCGAAAGGCUGCAGGAGAGGAAAGUCCGGGCUUCACAGGGCAGGGUGCCAGAUAACGUCUGGCGGAAGCGACUCCAGGGACAGUGCAACAGAAAUGUACCGCCGUUUGGAACCUAGUGCUGGCACUAUAUAUCGACGUAUUUACGCCGGGAGGCACUAGUUCCAUGCGGUAAGGGUGGAAGGGCAGUGUAAGAGACUACCGCCCGUCUGGUAACAGACGGGGCAUAUGUAAACCCCACUCGAAGCAAGACCGAACAGGAAGCAUAUGGCGGCCCGCCAGCUUUCGGGUAGGUUGCUUGAGGCUGCCGGCGACGGCAGUCCUAGAUAGAUGGCCAUUCAACGACAUAACCCGGCUUACCGUUCUGCUCG
Molecule: RNase P RNA, 391 nt
Filed under: uncultured Enterocloster sp.
Lineage: Bacteria; Bacillati; Bacillota; Clostridia; Lachnospirales; Lachnospiraceae
Description: Bacterial RNase P class A
Rfam family: Bacterial RNase P class A
About the family: Ribonuclease P (RNase P) is a ubiquitous endoribonuclease, found in archaea, bacteria and eukarya as well as chloroplasts and mitochondria.
Source: RNAcentral